UUUUGCAUGCUUUUAGACAUCCUGAGCGUACAGCCUUCCUAGAGUGCUUCCUGAGCUACUGAGGAAUGAUGACAAUAAAAGGCCGAAUUGCAGUGGCUCUGUCAACAGUUGGCUCUCUGUGGGCACACGAUGACAAAAUCUCCCGAAGCGAACCAGCAGUCUGACCUCAGUAACGUCAGGAUUGGAGCUUCGUGCUUUUAGGAAAGCUUUCCAAGGGACAUGGCCAACAAAGGCAUUCCCGAAAAGCCAGGUUAUUUUUUUAACCAGAGAGACAGAGUACACACUCUCACCCGCAGCCUCCCUCUCUAGAUUCCCACAGCAGCCAAGGUUGGACUAGAAACAGGAGCCAGAAACAGCAGUUCAGGUCUCCCAGAUGGCAGCAGGAACCCAAUUACUCAAGCCACCACCACUGCUUCCCAGGUCCGUGCGUUACAGGAAGCUGGAGUCAAGAGCCAGAGCUGGGAAUCAAAUCCGGGCAUAGCCAAACACCUGCCACGCUAAUAUUAAAAAACAAAAAAAGUCAGUGACCCUUGGAAAACACUGGGGCUUGAACAAGUAGUAAGCACCUCCCUGUGUUCUUUGAGGUGUGCUCACCUAAACAAAGGCUACUGGAUUGGAAAAAUAGACCUUCAAGAGUACCUGUGUGCCCAUGUGGAUGGAACAGCCAGUGUGACCAAUCCCUAGUAAGGGAAGUAAAUUUGGCAGCAGUCUCUUGACCACAUUAAAAUGCAUUGCUCAGUAAAGGCUGACAUUAAGUCAGUGUGUAUGUGCUACUGGCUGGAACUUACAUGUUAGUCAAAUGUAGAUUCCACCACCCAGCAUAAACCCUGCCUUGCAACUUACUACUAAAAGCACAGGAUGUUGGCUUAAAGCAAAACUAGUUUUGUGGUAUAAUAUAUUGUUUCUGUGUUGCAACAGCUAAUUAAUUAGAAAAGCCACCUACGCCUUUCCCAGCUAAUUUGGCUUUUUAAAAGUUCUAAAAAAGCACUUGUCAGCAUUUAGUUUGCAAAAAUACUAGUACUUAAGAUUACUCUUCUAAAAGUUAAGUUUCUGUAGUAUCAUGAUGAGCCAGACAGCUGGAGACUUGACCUUUCUAUAGCCAAGUAUAAAAUAGUGAACUGAAAAAAGUAUUUGCGCUGCAAAUAAAUGUUUACAGUAUCAGAGAAGUGAGUUGUGCUUCUGUCGUGGGCUGGUAAGAAACCUGGCCACACCAAGCUUCCUGUGGGCCAGCUGCACAGCUGUGAGGCCCAGGACUGUACCAGUGCUUUUGAGAAGCAUGUGAGGGAUUUCCUGCUAAGAACAGUAGUGACUGCAUGAAAAGACAUGGGUGGACUUUGGCAAAGUGGUAAAGAUGGCACUUGGGACACCUGCAUCCCUUAUCACAGUGCCUUGGUUUGAGUCCGGAUUCACUCUUUAUUCCACCUUCCUGUUAAUGGACAAACACCCUCGGAGGGUCAGGUACUUAGCUCCCUGUUAUCCAUAUGAGAGACCUGGAUUGAAUCCCAAGCUUUGGCUUCAAAAUGGCCCCGCCUUAGCUGUCCCAAGCAAGUAUUCCAUGAGUGAACCAGGGGAUCAGAGAUCUCCCUGUGCCACCUCCCUCCCACCCCCUUUCAAAUACAGGAUAUACAAUCAGCAAAACGCCUUACUAGGUGUAGGAGACUGGAAUUUUAAUAAAUAGUAAAAUGUUCUUCCUAUACAAUAAUUUUCCAGAACCUUUACAAUGCUAAGAGGAUAUCAAAAUAGACUUUAAAGUAGAUACAUACAUGAUCCAUUUCUUAGGAAUGCUAAUCAUUAAAAAUGCACAGAACAUGGGCCGGUGCUGUAUCGUAGAAGGUAAAGCCGCCAGUUGCAGUGCUAGCAUCCCAUACAAUGAUGGUUCAAGUCCCUGCUGCUCCACUUCCAGUCCAGCUCUCUGCUAUGGCCUGGGAAAGCAGUAGAGGAUGGCCCAAGACCUUGGGCACCUGCCCCCACAUAGGAGACCUGGAAGAAGCUCCUGGCUUCGGAUCGGUGCAGUUCUGGCUGAUGCUGCCAUCUGAGGAGUGAACCAGCAGAUGGAAGGACCCCUGUGCCCUGCCUCUCUCUAACUGCCUAUCAGAUAAAAUAAAUCUUCAAAACAAUGCACAAAACAGUCAUUUGAAGAUACUAAAGCUAGAAGUUGGAACUAGAAAAGCCUGAGAAUUCAAGGUGCUAAAAAAGCUAAAUUGAACUCAUUUAAUUGUAAUUAAAAAUGGAUUGCAGGCCGGUGCCGAGGCUCAAUAGACUAAUCCUCCGCCUGUGGCGCCGGCACACUGGGUUCUAGUCCCGGUCAGGGCGCUGGAUUCUGUCCCGGUUGCCCCUCUUCCAGGCCAGCUCUCUGCUGUGGCCCACGACUGCAGUGGAGGAUGGCCCAAGUGCUUGGGCCCUGCACCCACAUGGGAGACCAGGAAGAAGCACCUGGCUCCUGCCUUUGGAUCAGCGUGGUGCGCCGGCCACAGUGGCCAUUGGAGGGUGAAGCAACGGAAAAGGAAGACCUUUCUGUCUGUCUCUCUCACUGUCCACUCUGCCUGUCAAAAAAAAAGAAAAAAAAUGGAUUGCAGUUAAGAGUCCCAGGAUUACAGUUUGUUUUACUGUAGGGAGACAGUCUCCUAAACAUGUUUAAUCAAGAGCCAUUUGGUAGUGUUGUAAUAAACACUGUACAACUACUA
Molecule: long non-coding RNA, 2684 nt
Organism: Lepus europaeus (European hare)
Lineage: Eukaryota; Metazoa; Chordata; Mammalia; Lagomorpha; Leporidae
Exons: 2
Source: RefSeq, a predicted model, not a curated record